CCUACGGGUGGCAGCAGUGAGGAAUAUUGGUCAAUGGGCGGGAGCCUGAACCAGCCAAGCCGCGUGAGGGAAGAAGGUACAGCGUAUCGUAAACCUCUUUUGUCAGGGAACAAAGGCGGGGACUAGUCCCCGGAUGAGGGUACCUGAAGAAAAAGCAUCGCCUAACUCCGUGCCAGCAGCCCCGGUAAUACGGAGGAUGCGAGCGUUAUCCGGAUUUAUUGGGUUUAAAGGGUGCGCAGGCGGCUUGUUAAGUCAGCGGGAAAAGCCCGGGGCUCAACCCCGGCGCGCCGUUGAAACUGGCGGGCGGGAGUUGGAGAGAAGUACGCGGAAUGCGCGGUGUAGCGGUGAAAUGCUUAGAUAUCGCGAAGAACCCCGAUUGCGAAGGCAGCGUACCGGCUCCACACUGACGCUGAGGCACGAAAGCGUGGGUAUCGAACAGGAUUAGAUACCCCAGUAGUC
This 459-nucleotide ribosomal RNA is filed under the name uncultured bacterium. RNAcentral describes it as "partial 16S ribosomal RNA". It matches the Rfam family "Bacterial small subunit ribosomal RNA", at positions 338 to 795 of the family's 1533-position model. The record is from RNAcentral.